UAGGGAAUCUUCCACAAUGGGCGAAAGCCUGAUGGGGCAACGCCGCGUGUGUGAUGAAGGGUUUCGACUCGUAAAACACUGUUGUAAGAGAAGAAUGACAUUGAGAGUAACUGUUCAAUGCGUGACGGUAUCUUACCAGAAAGGAACGGCUAAAUACGUACCAG
Molecule: ribosomal RNA, 164 nt
Filed under: uncultured bacterium
Lineage: Bacteria
Description: partial 16S rRNA
Rfam family: Bacterial small subunit ribosomal RNA
Source: RNAcentral